UCAUCCUACCCUAAACCAUACUCUGUUUCACGACUGGAUCCAUUUAUUUAGUUUGAACUUUAUUUCUUGUUGACAAAUGAAAUCGGCUACAUGGGCGCGGUUUGUGUAAAAAAAAAAAAAAUCAUAAACAAGAGUCGAUUUGGAAUCGCCUUGGAAUCGAUUCUUCUUUCCCAGCCCAAAUUUAGACGCCCAGUGUGAACACCAAGAGAAGUUAGUUGAAGAGGAAGAGCAGCGCGAUGGCGUCCGCCUCAGCGGUUCUUCUGCUCCUGUCUGCGGGUUUAUUCACGGUAACAGACGGUUUAUGAGAGGACUGUAAGAGCUACUUCACCAGGGAUAACGUGUACAGGUCUUCGAUUAGCUGCAGGUAUUUGGAGCACUGCUGUGGAAGCUGCGAUCACAGAUACUGCUGCUCCUCUGCAUCUUCGAAGUUAUCCGAUGAUAUACAAGAUAUGUGCACUAUAGCGCCUUGAAAAAGGCAGAUCGCAGCAAGAUCUGGUGUAGAGUCGCCGAUGACAGUGGCUUGGAAAUUCCCAACUAAACGAUGGACGCAGUGUUGCCAAAUUGGGCUAUGUGAUGAGUGGGGCUGGGCCGAGAGCCGUGGGAAUGGAGCGAGGCCGGUGGAGUGAUUAGAAAUGAGCGACACCUGCGACACUCACCGGUCUGGAGUCCCACGGAGGAGAUCAGGAGGAUAUAAAAUAGGAGCGACGACAGUGAAGUACGAGAGAGGACCAGGCCUGGGCUUUAUUUUGUGUUUGGUUUUUGUUUGUGCGCGGCCGUCAUCUGUGACGGGGCUGUCACACUGUUGUGUGUUUAUUUUGUUAUUAAAGUUUUUAUUUGAAUGUCCGCCGGUUCCCGCCUUUUUCUUCCUGUGAUGAUGAAGUUUGUAUACUGUUACUAAAGCUCAUUACAAAUCUGAUUCGAUGACUUUGAACAAAAGGGAAGCAUUAUCUGUAGUACUGGCCCGGUUAUUACAGUCUAUAUGUGCUGGCCACAUUCCUUUUUUUUUUAUGUAGGAUAUUCCAGUUCAACCUCAAAGAAACUAAUCAUAGGUCAUUUUGUGGACAUUACACAAUAAAAUGAUACCUAAAUAAUAAUUUUUUUUAAAA
Carassius gibelio (silver crucian carp) is the source of this 1106-nucleotide long non-coding RNA. RefSeq lists it as uncharacterized. Lineage: Eukaryota; Metazoa; Chordata; Actinopteri; Cypriniformes; Cyprinidae. The transcript is spliced from 3 exons. The record is from RefSeq and is a predicted model, not a curated record.